GAUGAAGAACGUAGCGAAAUGCGAUACGUGGUGUGAAUUGCAGAAUCCCGUGAACCAUCGAGUCUUUGAACGCAAGUUGCGCCUCAAGCCAUUAGGUUGAGGGCACGUCUGCCUGGGCGUCACAUAUCGUUGCCUGAUGCCAGUUUCCUCGUGAUGGGUGACUGUGCAGGGCGAAUGAUGGCUUCCCGUGAGCAUUGUUGCCUCAUGGUUGGUUGAAAAUUGAGUCCUUGGUAGGGAGCGCCGUGAUAGAUGGUGGUUGAGUGACGAACGAGACCCAAUCAUGUGAGACCCCUACCGAAUUUGGCCUUCAUGACCCACAUGCGUCUUUGGAACGCUCAUGACGAGACCUCAGGUCAGGCGGGGCUACCCGCUGAGUUUAAGCAUAUCAAUAAGCGGAGGA
This 400-nucleotide unclassified non-coding RNA is filed under the name soil metagenome. Its description in RNAcentral is "partial contains 5.8S ribosomal RNA, internal transcribed spacer 2, and large subunit ribosomal RNA". The stretch from base 1 to 122 matches the Rfam family "5.8S ribosomal RNA", at positions 35 to 154 of the family's 154-position model. The record is from RNAcentral.